Molecule: ribosomal RNA, 253 nt
Filed under: Fragaria nipponica var. yezoensis
Lineage: Eukaryota; Viridiplantae; Streptophyta; Magnoliopsida; Rosales; Rosaceae
Description: 5.8S ribosomal RNA
Rfam family: 5.8S ribosomal RNA (bases 6-161)
About the family: 5.8S ribosomal RNA (5.8S rRNA) is a component of the large subunit of the eukaryotic ribosome. It is transcribed by RNA polymerase I as part of the 45S precursor that also contains 18S and 28S rRNA.
Source: RNAcentral
UAAACGACUCUCGGCAACGGAUAUCUCGGCUCUCGCAUCGAUGAAGAACGUAGCGAAAUGCGAUACUUGGUGUGAAUUGCAGAAUCCCGUGAACCAUCGAGUCUUUGAACGCAAGUUGCGCCCGAAGCCGUUAGGCCGAGGGCACGUCUGCCUGGGCGUCACACGUCGUUGCCCCCCCGACCCCUUCGGGGGCCGGACGGGACGGAUGAUGGCCUUCCCGUGUGCCCCGUCACGCGGUUGGCAUAAAUACCGA